GGGGCUGUGGCUCAGUGGAAGAGCCUCUGCUCGGCAUGUGGGAGGUCCUGGGUUCAAUCCCCAGCAUCUCUU
This 72-nucleotide transfer RNA is filed under the name Sphaerodactylus townsendi. RNAcentral's name for it is "tRNA-Ala". It matches the Rfam family "tRNA". From Rfam's summary of the family: Transfer RNA (tRNA) molecules are approximately 80 nucleotides in length. Their secondary structure includes four short double-helical elements and three loops (D, anti-codon, and T loops). Lineage: Eukaryota; Metazoa; Chordata; Lepidosauria; Squamata; Sphaerodactylidae. The record is from RNAcentral.